CACUCCAUCAAUCGGUCAUCCUUCAUGGCCCUUAAUCUAGCACAACGAAUCGCUGGGGAAAUAGCUUUCUGCAGCCCCCAAACUUUAACCUUCAGUGUUCCAUUCUGGCCACAUCAUGAAGCUACUUUGUUUGCUCUGUCUGCUGUUUGUCCAUUUGGCAGAAAUAAGUUGUAGAAUAAAGUAUGUUGUCCACUCUGAGCCAGAGUGCGAGGCUUUUUGUGUGCACGAUGCCUGCUACGACUUGUUCCACGUGAAUGGCAGCUGUCCAGGGGAGCUUUACUGCUGCAAGAUCCAUUUAAUGGGCAGAUGAUUUAUUACAUUAGUUUAUAUAUUUCCAUAAAUAUGAUUCCCCCAAUUAUCUGAUUACUA
This is a long non-coding RNA of Drosophila subobscura, 369 nucleotides long. RefSeq lists it as uncharacterized. The record is from RefSeq and is a predicted model, not a curated record. The transcript has 2 exons. NCBI's taxonomy places the organism in Eukaryota, Metazoa, Arthropoda, Insecta, Diptera, Drosophilidae.